This 476-nucleotide ribosomal RNA is filed under the name uncultured bacterium. RNAcentral's name for it is "bacterial SSU rRNA". It matches the Rfam family "Bacterial small subunit ribosomal RNA", at positions 28 to 507 of the family's 1533-position model. The record is from RNAcentral.
GAUGAACGCUAGCGGCAGGCCUAACACAUGCAAGUCGAGGGGUAUAGUAGCAAUACUAGAGACCGGCGCACGGGUGCGUAACGCGUAUGCAAUCUACCUUUUGCAGAGGGAUAGCCCAGAGAAAUUUGGAUUAAUACCUCAUAGUAUUAUAGUAUGGCAUCAUAUUAUAAUUAAAGUCACAACGGCAAAAGAUGAGCAUGCGUCCCAUUAGUUAGUUGGUAAGGUAACGGCUUACCAAGACUACGAUGGGUAGGGGUCCUGAGAGGGAGAUCCCCCACACUGGUACUGAGACACGGACCAGACUCCUACGGGAGGCAGCAGUGAGGAAUAUUGGACAAUGGGCGCAAGCCUGAUCCAGCCAUGCCGCGUGCAGGAUGACGGUCCUAUGGAUUGUAAACUGCUUUUGCACAGGAAGAAACAACGCUACGUGUAGCGUCUUGACGGUACUGUGAGAAUAAGGAUCGGCUAACUCCGUG